Molecule: long non-coding RNA, 5329 nt
Organism: Anolis carolinensis (green anole)
Lineage: Eukaryota; Metazoa; Chordata; Lepidosauria; Squamata; Anolidae
Exons: 2
Source: RefSeq, a predicted model, not a curated record
AACACUGGAAUAAGGUUACAAAGGCAACAAAAGGCAGCUCAGUGGGAAUGGGGAACACACACUGAACACAGCUGUGACAAAUUAAAUUAAAAAACACUAAUAAUGAAUGCAAUUACUAGCAAAUGGUGGAUGUAAAAUAGACACAGUUAGCACUGAGCAGGAAAGAUAUUUAGAAUGGAAGGAGGAGGGUUGGCCUUUAGUUUCAGGACCAUGGACAGCAAACAGAAGGACUAUAAGCGGUCCUUUCUAGAUUGGAAUUCCCGCUCUUCCUAAUCUUGGAUUCUCUCUUAAUGUUUAGGCCAGGGGUCCUCAAACUUUUAAAGCAGAGGGCCGGUCCACAAUCCUUCAGACUGUUGAGGGGCCGAAUUAUCAUUUGGAGAAAAAAACCGAACAAAUUCCUAUGCACACUGCACAUGUCUUAUUUGUAGUGCAAAAAACAACAAUAACAAUGAAAGAACAAUACAAUAUUUAAAAAUGAAAAUAAUUCUAACCAACAUAAACCUAUCAGGAUUUCAAUAGGAAGUGUGAGCCUGCUUCUGGCCAAUGAGAUAGUCAGGUUAAUUAGGAUUGUUGUUGUUGUGUGUCUUCAAGUCAUUUCAGACUUUGGGCGAGCCGAAGUCCAAAAUUAUUUAUUUAUUUAUUUACUACAUUUAUUUACUACAUUUAUAUCCCACUGUUCUCACCCCGGAGGGAACUCAGAGCAGCUGUAAUACAUACAAUAUAUUAUAUCAUUAGCAUAGCACAAUAUUAGCAUUAUACUAUAUUGAACUAUACCACUAUACUGUAAUAUUAUAUGUAAUAUAUAACAUAUAAUUAAUAUUAUUAUAUGGCAUUAUUGUUAGUAUUAUAUUGUAUAAAAUGAUAAUAUUAUUAUCAAUAUUACAUGUAUAUACAAUAUAUUAUAUUAUUAAAACUGAUAUAAAAAUAUUAUAUUAUAAAUGAGGGCGGGGGCCAGGUAAAUUACCUUGGAGGGCCACAUCCGGCCCCCGAGCCUUAGUUUGGGGACCCCUGGUUUAGGCGAAUCCAUUGCUCCGUGUUGUAGUCCCUAAAGUAAAGCAGCAGCUAUCACAUAUACAAGUCGAAUCACCCAAUCUGUAUGGAAAAAGUCACACGAGAAAGGACAAAGACCCACCCCGAGGAAAAGUGUUCUUGCCAUACUUCAAGGGAACCACUGGCCACAAAGGGAAGCUGAUGAAGAAACACAACCUACAAACUAUCUACAGACCCACGAAGAAAAUAAAGAACAGCACUCAGAAAACAGGGGAAUUCCAGGCUGGAAACAAUCAGGGCCAGCUAACACCUCCCAACAAAGGAUUCCCCCAGGCAGGAAGCAGCCAGGUGUUGAAUCUGCAAGGCUAUUCAAUGCUAAUUAAGGUGGCCAGAGUCACCAUUCACUCUAUGGAGCCCCUGAUGGCAUAGUGGGUUAAAGCCUUGUGACUUGAAGGUUGACUUGAAGCAAAGGCUGAGUUUGUGCAAAAUAAAUAAAUAAAUAAAUAAAAUUCCAGCAAUGUUAUUCUUUUAUCAUUUGGAGGCAUGGCCUGAUGCUCCAAAGGGCGGGAUAUAAAUGUAUUAAAUAAAUAAAUAAAUAAAUAAAUAAAUAAUUUUCCUACUUUUUCUUGUGUGCAAGGCAAAGGCUGAGUUUGUGCAAAAUAAAUAAAUAAAUAAAUAAAAUUCCAGCAAUGUUUUCUUUUAUCAUUUGGAGGCAUGGCCUGAUGCUCCAAAGGGCGGGAUAUAAAUGUAUUAAAUAAUACCUUGUUUCCCCAAAAAUAAGACAGUGUCGUAUAUUAAUUUUUGCUCCCAAAGAGGCGCUAGGUCUUAUUUUCAGGGGAUGUCUUAUUUUUCCACAAAGAAAAAUUCACGUUUAUGGUUGAAUGUUUAAAAAAUGAAAAUUUAUUAUCUACUGUACAGUAGUUGUCAUCACAAACCAGCAUAACCAAACUGUGAAUCCUUUCAAGAAUUUCUAUAUUAUAUUUUAUUGCUAUACUGUUUUUAAAUUACUGUUUUAAAUUUCUGUUCAUAUGUAAAUUUAUGUUGUUGUUGGGCUUGUCCCUGUGUAAGCUGCCCUGAGUCCCUUCUGGGAGAUGGAGGUGGGAUACAAGAAUAAAGUUAUUAUAUUAUUAUUAUUAUUAUUAUUUCUUGUUCCUACCUUUAUUUCCAUGUACAACAAUCCUGCAUGCUUCCAAACAAAAACUUUGCUAGGUCUUACUUUCAGGAGAGGCCUUAUAUUUAGCAACUAGCUGUGCCCGGCCACGCGUUGCUGUGGCAAAGUAUGGUGGUAUGGGAAAUAAAGUAUUGAAGAAUUGGUGGUAGUUAAGGUAAAGGGUAAAGGUUUUCUCCUGACAUUAAGUCCAGUUGUGUCCGACUGCACACUGAAGUGGAUUAUAUGGCAGUGUGGAGUCAAGAUAAUCCAGUUCAAAGCAGAUAAUAUGAGAUUAUAAAUGGAUUAUAUAGCUGUGUGGAAGGGCCCUUGAGUCUACACUGCCAUAUAAUCCAGUUCAAAUCAGAUAAUCUGUAUUUUAUAGGCAGUGUGGAAGAGGCCUAAGUGAGGCCUAACUCUUCCUGUCCCCUGGGCUGCGUGGGUUGCUAGGAGACCAAGUGGGCGGAGCUUAGCCUUCUAACUGGCAGCAAUUGGAUAAAAACAAUUAUUCCUCUCCCUCUAAUUAGGACUUUAUUUUUCUUUUGUUUUUUGUUGUAUGAACAUAGAGGCAUGGAUGAGGGGUUGUGCUGCCAAGUUUAGUGUUUCUGGGAUGUGUAGUUUUGUUGUUUUGUCCUAGGCCGAAAUUUCAUUACCUUUUUAUAUAGAUAGAUUCAGCAAAACCUCUACUAGGUCUUAUUUUUCUGGGGAUGUGUUAUUUUCAGGGAAACAGGGUAAAUAAAUAAAUAAAUAAAUAAAUUUCCUACUUUUUCUUGUGUGCAAGGCAAAGGCCGAGUUUGUGCAAAAUAAAUAAAUAAAUAAAAUUCCAGCAAUGUUUUUCUUUUAUCAUUUGGAGGCAUGGCCUGAUGCUCCGGCACAUGCCACGGAAGUUCUCCGAUUGCCACCUGGUGGUGCCCAGCCUGCUCAACAGUGAGUAAGGAGUAGAAGCCAUGCCCUAGGAGAUGUUCCACAGGGAGAAAAAGACACACACACACACACACACACACAGCAUGCAUUGCAUCUUUUGGCAGCCGUGCUUGGCAACCGACCUUGGGCUGUCCUUGCAGGGAACGCCAAGGCUGGCUGGGCCUGGAGCCCCCUCGACAAGGAAAGCAAUUCAGCAGGAAAAGAAAAAUAGGAGCGGAGUCACUCGGCACCCAUCAUGGGAAGCAAAGCUAACGGGAACAGGCAGGAGCAUUCAACAUCUAUCUCUGACUGUUUUAGAUAAACAGUUUUACCAUCCUUGUGGAAGGCUUCUCUCAUGUCCCCACAUGGAGCUGGAGCUAACAGAGGGAGCUCAUCCGCACUCUCCCCGGGUUGGAUUCGAACCUGGCAGCCUUCAGGUCAGCAACCCAACCUUCAAGUCGCAAGGCUUUAACCCACUACACCACCGGUGGCAUCUCCUGGGCAACGUCCUUGCAGACAGCCCAUUCUCUCACACCAGAAGCGACUUGCAGUUUCUCAAGUCGCUCCUGACAUGAAAAAAAAGAUAAACAGUAGAUUUUGUUUCUCUAAGGAUUCCUCUUUCUUUACCAACAGCAUUUGUUGCCUUUUCUAUAACGAAGAAUAUCUGUGGAACACCUUUUGAAUAUCUGCAUUAUCAGCAAUUAUCUCUUUCCCCUCUUGUAUCUUUAUUUCUCUCUCUCUCUCUGUUUCUUUUUAUAACUUAAACGCCAACAAUCUCCCUGGCAUAUUUGCAAAUUCAACGUUCUUUGGCUUUUGCAUAAUGCAUUUUUUUUUCUCUCGAUCUCAAGUCACAGUUAGCACUGAUAGCCGUCUCUGUAAAAUUUUAAUAUAUGAUUCAUCACAGCCAUUUUUUGAAGGAGAUUUCUCUAAUUAUUCUACCAGAUGCAUCUUGUAUAUAUUUUGGCAUAAUGAGACACAGGCGGUAUUUAUAUUUUGAGAUACUGAAACCCCAUCUGAUAAUUUCAACUCGGUCUUUUCAUUCACAAUUUUUUUCGAAUAUAUGACUUCCAGUGCUAACUUCAUUAUUUGGAUUUAAAGAGAUUGAUGAUGCACAUAAAUUUUUGCUUAUCUUGCAGAAUGAAGACAGCUUGACGCCACUUUAAAUGGCGUGUCUAAAUGUCAUGGAAACACGGGAGUUGUGGUUUUACAAGGUCGUGAGCCUUCUCUGCCAAACUACAACUCCUAUUCCAACAAAAGAAAAUGACAAGCAAUCUCACAAUUGUGUGUCUCUAUGGCAAGGACAUCCUCUUGCAUCUGCCCUCCAAGGUUUCGUGAGCAAGCAUGCAAAUGACCUGACCGGAGGCUGCUUGGUUUAAAUAUAGGCAGUGCCAGGAGGGCAUCCGGCGUGGCACAUGGAGAAGAGACAAACACAGAGAUGGAAACACCCCUCGAAAACACCGCGAGUUUGCUUCUGAAUUCUUCUGGAGUGGCCACAUGCUCAUAUGCUCAAUGCUUCUUGGCUUGAUGACAAUUAGGGGAGACAAUGUCAGCCAAUUUGUCAUCAGGUGGAUUGCAGGCCUCUCUAAUGCUAUAUAUUCAACGUUCUCAUAGGUGCAAUCUGCACUGAUUCUGGUAGAAUAGAAUCCCACUUACACGACUUCCGCUAAUUAUAAUAUUAUAAUGGAAUACAAUAUUAUACUACUAAUAAUGCAAUAUAAUUAUAUUAAUUAUAUAUUAUAUAUUAAAUGUAAUAUUACUAAUAAUAUUACCAUAUAAUGAUAUAGUACAAUAUAGUAAUUUAAUGCUUAUAUUGUGCUAUGCUAAUAAUAUAUUGUAUGUUCAUUUGAUUUGUAAGCCGCUCUGAGUCCCCUUUGGGGUGAGAAGAGAGGGAUAUAAAUGUAGUAAAUAUUACUAUUUACUAUAAAAUUAUUACUAAUAAUAUUACCAUAUAAUGAUAUAGUACAAUAUAGUAAUUUAAUGCUUAUAUUGUGCUAUGCUAAUAAUAUAUUGUAUGUUCAUUUGAUUUGUAACCUGCUCUGAGUUCUCACCGCGGGGUAAGAAGAGCGGGAUAUAAAUGUAGUAAAUAUUACUAUUUACUAUAAAAUUAUUACUAAUAAUAUUACCAUAUAAUGAUAUAGUACAAUAUAGUAAUUUAAUGUUCAUAUUGCGUUAUGCUAAUAAUAUAUUGUAUGUUCAUUUGAUUUGUAAGCCGCUCUGAGUCCUCUUCGGGGUAAGAAGAGCAGGAUAUAAAUGUAGUAAAUAAAUAUUACUAAUAAUAUUACCAUAUAA